ACGGAGGGGGCUAGCGUUGUUCGGAAUUACUGGGCGUAAAGCGCACGUAGGCGGAUUGGAAAGUCAGAGGUGAAAUCCCAGGGCUCAACCUUGGAACUGCCUUUGAAACUCUCAGUCUUGAGGUCGAGAGAGGUGAGUGGAAUUCCGAGUGUAGAGGUGAAAUUCGUAGAUAUUCGGAGGAACACCAGUGGCGAAGGCGGCUCACUGGCUCGAUACUGACGCUGAGGUGCGAAAGCGUGGGGAGCAAACAGGAUUAGAUACCCUGUCAGUCCACGCCCUAAACGAUGAAUGCCAGACGUCGGGCAGCAUGCUGUUCGGUGUCACACCUAACGGAUUAAGCAUUCCGCCUGGGGAGUACGGCCGCAAGGUUA
This 371-nucleotide ribosomal RNA is filed under the name uncultured bacterium. RNAcentral describes it as "bacterial SSU rRNA". It matches the Rfam family "Bacterial small subunit ribosomal RNA", at positions 525 to 896 of the family's 1533-position model. The record is from RNAcentral.